ACGCAUUUUUUCUUACCUGUGUUUUUCUUUUUUUGAAAACUUUGCUUUGGUAGGCCUUCUAUAUGGGGCCUGCCAGAGAUUAAACUCAACCAAAUUUUAUUUAAUGUCAACCGAUUAUUUAAUAGUCAAAACUUUCAACAACGGAUCUCUUGGUUCUCGCAUCGAUGAAGAACGCAGCGAAAUGCGAUAAGUAAUAUGAAUUGCAGAUAUUCGUGAAUCAUCGAAUCUUUGAACGCACAUUGCGCCCUUUGGUAUUCCAAAGGGCAUGCCUGUUUGAGCGUCAUUUCUCCCUCAAACCCUCGGGUUUGGUGUUGAGCGAUACGCUGGGUUUGCUUGAAAGAAAGGCGGAGUAUAAACUAAUGGAUAGGUUUUUUCCACUCAUUGGUACAAACUCCAAAACUUCUUCCAAAUUCGACCUCAAAUCAGGUAGGACUACCCGCUGAACUUAAGCAUAUCAAUAAGCGGAGG
This 468-nucleotide ribosomal RNA is filed under the name Lodderomyces parapsilosis. RNAcentral's name for it is "eukaryotic LSU rRNA". The stretch from base 130 to 283 matches the Rfam family "5.8S ribosomal RNA". Lineage: Eukaryota; Fungi; Ascomycota; Pichiomycetes; Serinales; Debaryomycetaceae. The record is from RNAcentral.